Molecule: ribosomal RNA, 401 nt
Filed under: uncultured bacterium
Lineage: Bacteria
Description: partial 16S ribosomal RNA
Rfam family: Bacterial small subunit ribosomal RNA
Source: RNAcentral
GAUGAACGCUGGCGGCGUGCUUAACACAUGCAAGUCGAACGGAGUGGCGAACGGGUGAGUAACACGUGAGUAACCUGUCCUUUUCUUUGGGAUAAGCUUCCGAAAGGGUGUUUAAUACCUUAUAGGGUGGGCUCGCGGUCUAUCAGCUUGUUGGUGGGGUGAUGGCCUACCAAGGCUUUGACGGGUAGCCGGCAUGAGAGGGUGGUCGGUCACAUUGGGACUGAGAUACGGCCCGGACGCCUGCGGGAGGCAGCAGUGGUGGAUAUUGCACAAUGGGCUAAAGCCUGAUGCAGCGACGGCGCGUGGGGGAUGAAGGCCUUCGGGUUGUAAACUUCUUUGGCUCUGAACGUGUAGGGGUUGAUUAGCGCCGGCUAACUACGUGCCAGCCGCCGCGGUAAUAC